UACGUAGGGGGCUAGCGUUGUCCGGAAUCAUUGGGCGUAAAGAGCGUGUAGGCGGCCCGGUAAGUCCGCUGUAAAAGUCAAAGGCUCAACCUUUGAAUGUCAGUGGAUACUGCCGUGCUAGAGUCCGGAAGAGGCGAGUGGAACUCCUGGUGUAGCGGUGGAAUGCGCAGAUAUCAGGAAGAACACCAACGGCGAAGGCAGCUCGCUGGGACGGUACUGACGCUGAGACGCGAAAGCGUGGGGAGCGAACAGG
RNAcentral lists this ribosomal RNA (253 nucleotides) under uncultured bacterium. RNAcentral's name for it is "partial 16S ribosomal RNA". It matches the Rfam family "Bacterial small subunit ribosomal RNA", at positions 524 to 776 of the family's 1533-position model. The record is from RNAcentral.